This 1485-nucleotide ribosomal RNA is filed under the name Triticum aestivum (bread wheat). RNAcentral's name for it is "partial small subunit ribosomal RNA". Lineage: Eukaryota; Viridiplantae; Streptophyta; Magnoliopsida; Poales; Poaceae. The record is from RNAcentral.
AUGGAUUACGCCGGCGCCGCCGCCGCUGCCCCUCCCUACCGCCUCCAAGCAAUGGAUUCAGCCGCCACCGCCGCCCCGCUGCUGGCCGACGAGGAGGACGCUCGGCGCAGCCGGAGCACCGACUGCAUCUCCAGUCCAUUCGUUCGUUCGUCCAUCCCCUCCGCUCCGCUCCCUCCAUCGAUAGAUGGAACAGUCCGCGCUAGGCUAGCUCCAGCCUCCGGCUGCCGGCGCACGAUUUGGUCUUGGUUUCCGGCGAGGGAGCCUUGCUCUGCUCCGCUCAGCAUGGUGCCGGAAAACUCGAUGCUAGCUAAGCUUGGUUUACGCACGACCAAAGCAUUAGGGCUUUAUGGGCAUCACUGGAGCUACAUCGCCAUUGUAGAUUCUCCGGGAAGCGAGUGCGAGUACUGUCACAUCGAUGCCACGAGGGUGAACCCCAGGGACUCCUGCACGACGUAUUUUGAGAGCCAAGAAUUAUAUUUAUGUUUGAUCCAUCCAGCUUAUGACAUCCUGAAUAUCGGUGGCACAGGUUUCAGAACCAUUGGGUAUUGGUCAAACUUUUCUGGUCUCUCAGUCGCUGCUUCAGAAAACUUGCAUUCAGUACCAUCGGACUCUACAACCAAUGAUAUAGAGCUCAAUGGUGUUAUCUGGCCUGGUCAGAUUGCAGAGAAACCCGGUGGCUGGGUGUUUCCGUAUCAUGGGAAGUUUCUCCAUGCCAACACAUACCUCAAUGGAAUAUUUGCAAUUUUCCAAUGCAUAUUCACUUCAGUUGCAAGUGUAGAGGUCCAUGCCAAGAACCCCAACACUUCUCAAAUUAAUGUUCAUGAUCAAUCUAGCUUCUGCAUAAAGGAAAAGACCACAUCUGCUUGUACUCUGGAACUCUGGAUGCUAAGGAUGAGGUGUGUGCUGCUGCUGGGAGCGCGAGCGCAGCGGCCUGAGCAGGCCCGGGUAGAGAGAGCGGACGGCCUUGGCCUGCUACGGCCCAAACUGAGUGGCGGGAGCCCGGAUGUGGUCUUCGUGACUACAGAUGCAGUUUUUUUCUUUCCAAAAAAGGAAAGUAGAAGAAGAAAGACUGAGCGCUGUGAAGCCGGAGGUCGCCGAAGCCCCGGCACGCGGGGGCUGGGCGAGGAGCCCAGACCGGUGCUAUAUAUGCGUGGCACUCGACCGUAUCCGCAUCAAACCAUUUCACUCCAUGGACGGACGCCACUCCUAAAGCAGACAACUACUUCGAAAAUUCAGGUCGCAGAAUCCCGUUUCUGCAGCAGAUUGAGCUUACAACUGGUCCACGCAAAGCGCAAAGCUGGUGACGUUGACGAUGCAGACGAUGAUCAUGUAAGCAGCAGGCUGAACUCGACGGCGUCCACCUCCGGCGCCCAUGCUCUGCAAGACGAACUAUAUGAAUCUGACGGAUCCAUCCUUGGUGGAAGGAAGCAGAUGAGGAAAAACCUCAAGAUCAAUCGAGAAAUGCAAUUUGAAAGUCGAAUUUAA